Molecule: non-coding RNA, 245 nt
Organism: Pelobates cultripes (western spadefoot toad)
Lineage: Eukaryota; Metazoa; Chordata; Amphibia; Anura; Pelobatidae
Source: the annotation of a GenBank genome assembly
AGGAGCCACACCACCGGGAUAGAGGACGCUGAUAGCCCUGUUCACUGCAUCUACCACUGCCAUAUUGUCCGAAAAGAAUACCACCUUCUUAUCCCUCAACUGUGGACCCCAUAGUGACAACGGGAACAAUUCCAGGAACGCCAAGUUGCAGUGGGCUGGCAUUCCAGGCCCCUGGCCAAGUACCCGCGCACCAUUGACCCGAAAAGUAAGCCCCAAACCCGACACUCCCCGACGCGUCCGUGAAC